GGGGAAUAUUGCACAAUGGGCGAAAGCCUGAUGCAGCAACGCCGCGUGAGGGAUGACGGCCUUCGGGUUGUAAACCUCUUUUAGUAGGGAAGAAGCGAAAGUGACGGUACCUGCAGAAAAAGCACCGGCUACCUACGUGCCAGCAGCCGCGGUAAUACGUAGGGUGCAAGCGUUGUCCGGAAUUAUUGGGCGUAAAGAGCUCGUAGGCGGCUUGUCGCGUCUGCCGUGAAAACCCAGGGCUCAACCCUGGGCGUGCGGUUGGUACGGGCAGGCUAGAGUGCGGUAGGGGAGAUUGGAAUUCCUGGUGUAGCGGUGGAAUGCGCAGAUAUCAGGAGGAACACCGAUGGCGAAGGCAGAUCUCUGGGCCGCUACUGACGCUGAGGAGCGAAAGCAUGGGGAGCGAAC
This 405-nucleotide ribosomal RNA is filed under the name uncultured bacterium. Its description in RNAcentral is "bacterial SSU rRNA". It matches the Rfam family "Bacterial small subunit ribosomal RNA", at positions 356 to 773 of the family's 1533-position model. The record is from RNAcentral.